This 460-nucleotide ribosomal RNA is filed under the name uncultured bacterium. Its description in RNAcentral is "partial 16S ribosomal RNA". It matches the Rfam family "Bacterial small subunit ribosomal RNA", at positions 338 to 795 of the family's 1533-position model. The record is from RNAcentral.
CCUACGGGCGGCAGCAGUGAGGAAUAUUGGUCAAUGGACGAGAGUCUGAACCAGCCAAGUAGCGUGAAGGAUGACUGCCCUAUGGGUUGUAAACUUCUUUUAUAAAGGAAUAAAACGAGGCACGUGUGCCUUUUUGCAUGUACUUUAUGAAUAAGCAUCGGCUAACUCCGUGCCAGCAGCCGCGGUAAUACGGAGGAUCCGAGCGUUAUCCGGAUUUAUUGGGUUGAAAGGGAGCCUAGGUGGGUUGGUAAGUCAGUUGUGAAAGUUUGGGGCUCAAACUUAAGAUUGCAAUUGAUACUGGCAGUCUUGAGUACAGUUGAGGUAGGCGGAAUUCGUGGUGUAGCGGUGAAAUGCGUAGAUAUCACGAAGAACCCCGAUUGCGAAGGCAGCUUACUAAACUGUGACUGACAUUGAUGCGCGAAAGUGUGAGUAUCAAACAGGAUUAGAUACCCUAGUAGUC